AUUGAACGCUGGCGGCAGGCCUAACACAUGCAAGUCGAGCGGAGCGGCGGACGGGUGAGUAAUGCCUAGGAAUCUGCCUGGUAGUGGGGGAUCACGUCCUGCAACGGGCGCUAAUACCGCAUCCUCUCAGAUGAGCCUAGGUCUGAUUGGCUAGUUGGGGGGGUAAAGGCCUACCAAGGCGACGAUCCGUAACUGGUCUGAGAGGAUGAUCAGUCACACGGGAACUGAGACACGGUCCAGACUCCUACGGGAGGCAGCAGUGGGGAAUAGUGCACAAUGGGCGCAAGCCUGAUGCAGCCAUGCCGCGUGUAGGAAGAAGGCCUUCGGGUUGUAAAGUACUUUCAGCGGGGAGGCGUUACCCGCAGAAGAAGCACCGGCUAACUCCGUGCCAGCAGCCGCGGUAAUUC
This 407-nucleotide ribosomal RNA is filed under the name uncultured bacterium. RNAcentral's name for it is "partial 16S ribosomal RNA". It matches the Rfam family "Bacterial small subunit ribosomal RNA", at positions 30 to 526 of the family's 1533-position model. The record is from RNAcentral.